AUCCAGCUGACGAGUCCAAAAUAGGACGGAACGCACGUUAUGGAU
RNAcentral lists this non-coding RNA (45 nucleotides) under Schistosoma margrebowiei. Lineage: Eukaryota; Metazoa; Platyhelminthes; Trematoda; Strigeidida; Schistosomatidae. The record is from RNAcentral.